RNAcentral lists this ribosomal RNA (253 nucleotides) under uncultured bacterium. RNAcentral's name for it is "partial 16S ribosomal RNA". It matches the Rfam family "Bacterial small subunit ribosomal RNA", at positions 524 to 776 of the family's 1533-position model. The record is from RNAcentral.
UACGAAGGGGGCUAGCGUUGUUCGGAUUUACUGGGCGUAAAGGGCGCGUAGGCGGUUUAGCAAGUUGGAAGUGAAAGCCCGGGGCUUAACCUCGGAACUGCUUUCAAAACUGCUAAGCUAGAGUGUAGUAGGGGAUGAUGGAAUUCCUAGUGUAGAGGUGGAAUUCUUAGAUAUUAGGAGGAACACCGGUGGCGAAGGCGGUCAUCUGGGCUACAACUGACGCUGAGGCGCGAAAGCGUGGGGAGCAAACAGG